RNAcentral lists this ribosomal RNA (246 nucleotides) under uncultured bacterium. RNAcentral's name for it is "partial 16S ribosomal RNA". It matches the Rfam family "Bacterial small subunit ribosomal RNA", at positions 87 to 334 of the family's 1533-position model. The record is from RNAcentral.
UAUGGCGACCGGCGCACGGGUGAGUAACACGUAUCCAACCUGCCGAUGACUCGGGGAUAGCCUUUCGAAAGAAAGAUUAAUACCCGAUGGCAUAGUUCUUCCGCAUGGUAGAACUAUUAAAGAAUUUCGGUCAUCGAUGGGGAUGCGUUCCAUUAGGUUGUUGGCGGGGUAACGGCCCACCAAGCCUUCGAUGGAUAGGGGUUCUGAGAGGAAGGUCCCCCACAUUGGAACUGAGACACGGCCCAA